Molecule: ribosomal RNA, 405 nt
Filed under: uncultured bacterium
Lineage: Bacteria
Description: bacterial SSU rRNA
Rfam family: Bacterial small subunit ribosomal RNA
Source: RNAcentral
AGAGUUUGAUCCUGGCUCAGAAUGAACGUUGGCGGCGUGGAAUAGGCAUGCAAGUCGAGCGAGAAGCCCCGCAAGGGGUGGAAAGCGGCGUAAGGGAGAGGAACACGUGGUUCAUCUGCCCUCAGGUCCGGGAUAGCUGCGGGAAACUGCAGGUAAUACCGGAUGACAUCUCCGGAUCAAAGGUGUGAUUCCGCCUGAGGAUGAGACCGCGUCCUAUUAGCUAGUUGGUGAGGUAAUGGCUCACCAAGGCAAUGAUGGGUACCGGGUGUGAGAGCACGACCCGGCUCACUGGGACUGAGACACUGCCCAGACACCUACGGGUGGCUGCAGUCGAGGAUCUUCGGCAAUGGGCGCAAGCCUGACCGAGCGACGCCGCGUGUGGGAUGAAGGCCUUCGGGUUGUAAA